Molecule: ribosomal RNA, 486 nt
Filed under: uncultured bacterium
Lineage: Bacteria
Description: partial 16S ribosomal RNA
Rfam family: Bacterial small subunit ribosomal RNA
Source: RNAcentral
AUUGAACGCUGGCGGCAUGCCUUACACAUGCAAGUCGAACGGCAGCACGGGUGCUUGCACCUGGUGGCGAGUGGCGAACGGGUGAGUAAUACAUCGGAACAUGUCCUGUAGUGGGGGAUAGCCCGGCGAAAGCCGGAUUAAUACCGCAUACGAUCUACGGAUGAAAGCGGGGGACCUUCGGGCCUCGCGCUAAAGGGUUGGCCGAUGGCUGAUUAGCUAGUUGGUGGGGUAAAGGCCUACCAAGGCGACGAUCAGUAGCUGGUCUGAGAGGACGACCAGCCACACUGGGACUGAGCCACGGCCCAGACUCCUACGGGAGGCAGCAGUGGGGAAUUUUGGACAAUGGGCGAAAGCCUGAUCCAGCAAUGCCGCGUGUGUGAAGAAGGCCUUCGGGUUGUAAAGCACUUUUGUCCGGAAAGAAAUCCUUGGCCCUAAUACGGUCGGGGGAUGACGGUACCGGAAGAAUAAGCACCGGCUAACUACGUG